This 253-nucleotide ribosomal RNA is filed under the name uncultured bacterium. RNAcentral describes it as "partial 16S ribosomal RNA". It matches the Rfam family "Bacterial small subunit ribosomal RNA", at positions 524 to 776 of the family's 1533-position model. The record is from RNAcentral.
UACGGGGGGGGCAAGCGUUGUUCGGAAUUACUGGGCGUAAAGGGCGCGUAGGUGGCUAACUAAGUCAGACGUGAAAUCCCUCGGCUUAACCGGGGAACUGCGUCUGAUACUGGAUGGCUUGAGUUUGGGAGAGGGACGCGGAAUUCCAGGUGUAGCGGUGAAAUGCGUAGAUAUCUGGAGGAACACCGGUGGCGAAGGCGGCGUCCUGGACCAAUACUGACACUGAAACGCGAAAGCCAGGGGAGCAAACGGG